This is a long non-coding RNA of Oncorhynchus mykiss (rainbow trout), 2906 nucleotides long. Lineage: Eukaryota; Metazoa; Chordata; Actinopteri; Salmoniformes; Salmonidae. The record is from Ensembl.
CUACUGUUAGCUAGCCAGGUAGACACGAAGAAUUGACAUCUACCCUUUAGUUUUAGGUCUCCUGGUUAGCUACAUUAUUACGAUUCACAUAUAGCUGGCUGAUAGUUAUGAAGUAAAAUGUUUUCUUUUUGUAUAUCUUGUUUUAUCUCUAUUGCCAUUGUCCUGUCUGGAAGAAGGUUCAGUGAAUGGGGAGGUGCAGCGGGAGGUAAUACAGUAGGGAGAGUGGGAGGUAAUACAGUAGGGGGAGGUGCAGCGUGAGGUAAUACAGUAGGGGGAGGAGCAGCAUGAGGUAAUACAGUAGGGGGAGGAGCAGCGUGAGGUAAUACAGUACGGGGAGGAGCAGCGUGAGGUAAUACAGUAGGUGGGGGAGCAGCAUGAGGUAAUACAGUAGGGGGAGGAGCAGCGUGAGGUAAUACAGUAGGGGGAGGUGCAGCGUGAGGUAAUACAGUAGGGGGAGGAGCAGCGUGAGGUAAUACAGUAGGGGGAGGUGCAGCGGGAGGUAAUACAGUAGGGGGAGGAGCAGUGUGAGGUAAUACAGUAGGGGAAGGAGCAGCGUGCGGUAAUACAGUAGGGGGAGGUGCAGCGUGAGGUAAUACAGUAGGGGGAGGAGCAGCGUGAGGUAAUACAGUAGAGGGAGGAGCAGCGUGAGGUAAUACAGUAGGGGGAGGUGCAGUGUGAGGUAAUACAGUAGGGGGAGGUGCAGCGGGAGGUAAUACAGUAGGGGGAGGAGCAGUGUGAGGUAAUACAGUAGGGGGAGGUGCAGCGUGAGGUAAUACAGUAGGGGGAGGUGCAGCGGGAGGUAAUACAGUAGGGGGAGGUGCAGCGGGAGGUAAUACAGUAGGGGGAGGAGCAGCGUGAGGUAAUACAGUAGGGGGAGGUGCAGUGUGAGGUAAUACAGUAGGGGGAGGUGCAGCGGGAGGUAAUACAGUAGGGGGAGGAGCAGUGUGAGGUAAUACAGUAGGGGGAGGUGCAGCGGGAGGUAAUACAGUAGGGAGAGUGGGAGGUAAUACAGUAGGGGGAGGUGCAGCGUGAGGUAAUACAGUAGGGGGAGGAGCAGCAUGAGGUAAUACAGUAGGGGGAAGAGCAGCGUGAGGUAAUACAGUAGGGGGAGGUGCAGCGGGAGGUAAUACAGUAGGGGAAGGAGCAGCGUGCGGUAAUACAGUAGGGGGUGCAGCAUGAGGUAAUACAGUAGGGGGAGGAGCAGCGUGCGGUAAUACAGUAGGUGGGGGAGCAGCGUGAGGUAAUACAGUAGGGGGAGGUGCAGCAUGAGGUAAUAUAGUAGGGGGAGGAGCAGCUUUAGGUAAUACAGUAGGGGGAGGAGCAGCGUGAGGUAAUACAGUAGGGGGAGGAGCAGCGUGAGGUAAUACAGUAGGGGGAGGAGCAGCGUGAGCUAAUACAGUAGGGGGAGGAGCAGCGUGAGGUAAUACAGUAGGGGGAGGAGCAGCGUGAGGUAAUACAGUAGGGGGAGGUGCAGCGUGAGGUAAUACAGUAGGGGGAGGAGCAGUGUGAGGUAAUAUAGUAAGGGGAGGUGCAGCAUGAGGUAAUACAGUAGGGGAGGGAGCAGCGUGAGGUAUAACAGUAGGGGGAGGAGCAGCGUGAGGUAAUACAGUAGGGGGAGGUGCAGCGUGAGGUAGUACAGUAGGGGGAGGUGCAGCGGGAGGUAAUACAGUAGGGGGAGGAGCAGCGUGAGGUAAUACAGUAGGAGAGGAGCAGCGUGAGGUAAUACAGUACGGGGAGGAGCAGCGUGAGGUAAUACAGUAGGUGGGGGAGCAGCAUGAGGUAAUACAGUAGGGGGAGGAGCAGCGUGAGGUAAUACAGUAGGGGGAGGAGCAGCGUGAGGUAAUACAGUAGGGGGAGGAGCAGCGUGAGGUAAUACAGUAGGGGGAGGUGCAGCGUGAGGUAAUACAGUAGGGGGAGGUGCAGCGUGAGGUAAUACAGUAGGGGGAGGAGAAGCGUGUGGUAAUACAGUAGGUGGGGGAGCAGCGUGAGGUAAUACAGUAGGGGGAGGAGCAGCGUGAAGUAAUACAGUAGGGGGAGGAGAAGCGUGUGGUAAUACAGUAGGUGGGGGAGCAGCGUGAGGUAAUACAGUAGGGGGAGGUGCAGCAUGAGGUAAUACAGUAGGUGGGGGAGCAGCGUGAGGUAAUACAGUAGGGGGAGGUGCAGCAUGAGGUAAUACAGUAGGGGGAGGAGCAGCGUGAGGUAAUACAGUAGGGAGAGUGGGAGGUAAUACAGUAGGGGGAGGUGCAGCAUGAGGUAAUACAGUAGGUGGGGGAGCAGCAUGAGGUAAUACAGUAGGGGGAGGAGCAGCGUGAGGUAAUACAGUAGGGGGAGGAGCAGCGUGAGGUAAUACAGUAGGGGGAGGUGCAGCAUGAGGUAAUACAGUAGGUGGGGGAGCAGCAUGAGGUAAUACAGUAGGGGGAGGAGCAGCGUGAGGUAAUACAGUAGGGGAGGAGCAGCGUGAGGUAAUACAGUAGGGGGAGGAGCAGCGUGAGGUAAUACAGUAGGGGGAGGAGCAGCGUGAGGUAAUACAGUAGGGGGAGGAGCAGCGUGAGGUAAUACAGUAGGGGGAGGUGCAGCGGGAGGUAAUACAGUAGGGGGAGGAGCAGCGUGAGGUAAUACAGUAGGGGAGGAGCAGCGUGAGGUAAUACAGUAGGGGGAGGAGCAGCGUGAGGUAAUACAGUAGGGGGAGGAGCAGCGUGAGGUAAUACAGUAGGGGGAGGAGCAGCGUGAGGUAAUACAGUAGGGUGAGGAGCAGCGUGCGGAUAUACAGUAGGGGGAGUGGAAGGUAAUGCAGUAGAGGGGAAUGCGAGUGCUUCUCAAAUGUAAUGUUUAAUGCAUUCUCCACACUCUCGUCCUCACAAAAACGUACUCAAGUGAACGUCUUCAGAAAAUGCACUAGGAGCAUA